GACGAACGCUGGCGGCGUGCUUAACACAUGCAAGUCGAACGGAAAGGCCCCUUUUGGGGUACUCGAGUGGCGAACGGGUGAGUAACACGUGAGUAACCUGCCCUUGACUUCGGUAUAACUUCAGGAAACUGGGGCUAAUACCGGAUAGGAAUCCUUGCUGCAUGGUGGGGGUUGGAAAGCUUCGGCGGUUUUGGAUGGACUCGCGGCUUAUCAGCUUGUUGGUGGGGUAGUGGCUUACCAAGGCUUUGACGGGUAGCCGGCCUGAGAGGGCGACCGGCCACAUUGGGACUGAGAUACGGCCCAGACUCCUGCGGGAGGCAGCAGUGGGGAAUAUUGCACAAUGGGCGGGAGCCUGAUGCAGCAACGCCGCGUGCGGGAUGACGGGCUUCGGGUUGUAAACCGCUUUCAGCAGGGGCGAAGCUUGUGGUGACGGUACCUGCAGAAGAAGCACCGGCUAACUACGUG
Molecule: ribosomal RNA, 465 nt
Filed under: uncultured bacterium
Lineage: Bacteria
Description: partial 16S ribosomal RNA
Rfam family: Bacterial small subunit ribosomal RNA
Source: RNAcentral